This 487-nucleotide ribosomal RNA is filed under the name Klebsiella quasipneumoniae subsp. similipneumoniae. Its description in RNAcentral is "partial 23S ribosomal RNA". It matches the Rfam family "Bacterial large subunit ribosomal RNA", at positions 398 to 888 of the family's 2925-position model. The record is from RNAcentral. Lineage: Bacteria; Pseudomonadati; Pseudomonadota; Gammaproteobacteria; Enterobacterales; Enterobacteriaceae. RNAcentral also lists the same sequence under 1 other name.
UGUGAACUCGAAGAGUAGGGCGGGACACGUGGUAUCCUGUCUGAAUAUGGGGGGACCAUCCUCCAAGGCUAAAUACUCCUGACUGACCGAUAGUGAACCAGUACCGUGAGGGAAAGGCGAAAAGAACCCCGGCGAGGGGAGUGAAAAAGAACCUGAAACCGUGUACGUACAAGCAGUGGGAGCACCUUUAUGGUGUGACUGCGUACCUUUUGUAUAAUGGGUCAGCGACUUAUAUUCUGUAGCAAGGUUAACCGUAUAGGGGAGCCGCAGGGAAACCGAGUCUUAACUGGGCGUUAAGUUGCAGGGUAUAGACCCGAAACCCGGUGAUCUAGCCAUGGGCAGGUUGAAGGUUGGGUAACACUAACUGGAGGACCGAACCGACUAAUGUUGAAAAAUUAGCGGAUGACUUGUGGCUGGGGGUGAAAGGCCAAUCAAACCGGGAGAUAGCUGGUUCUCCCCGAAAGCUAUUUAGGUAGCGCCUCGUGAA